RNAcentral lists this ribosomal RNA (509 nucleotides) under uncultured bacterium. RNAcentral's name for it is "bacterial SSU rRNA". It matches the Rfam family "Bacterial small subunit ribosomal RNA", at positions 28 to 496 of the family's 1533-position model. The record is from RNAcentral.
GACGAACGCUGGCGGCGUGCCUAAUACAUGCAAGUCGAACGCACUCUCGUUUAGAUUGAAGGAGCUUGCUCCUGAUUGAUAAACAUUUGAGUGAGUGGCGGACGGGUGAGUAGCACGUGGGUAACCUGCCCUAAAGUGGGGGAUAACAUUUGGAAACAGAUGCUAAUACCGCAUAAAACCUAACACCGCAUGGUGUAGGGUUGAAAGAUGGUUUCGGCUAUCACUUUAGGAUGGACCCGCGGUGCAUUAGUUAGUUGGUGAGGUAAAGGCUCACCAAGACCGUGAUGCAUAGCCGACCUGAGAGGGUAAUCGGCCACACUGGGACUGAGACACGGCCCAGACUCCUACGGGAGGCAGCAGUAGGGAAUCUUCCACAAUGGACGAAAGUCUGAUGGAGCAACGCCGCGUGAGUGAAGAAGGUUUUCGGAUCGUAAAACUCUGUUGUUGGAGAAGAAUGUAUUUGAUAGUAACUGAUCAGGUAGUGACGGUAUCCAACCAGAAAGCCACGG